Non-coding RNA from Peromyscus maniculatus bairdii (prairie deer mouse), 675 nucleotides. NCBI's taxonomy places the organism in Eukaryota, Metazoa, Chordata, Mammalia, Rodentia, Cricetidae. The record is from RefSeq and is a predicted model, not a curated record.
AUUCUGGGAAGUAGAAGACUGAGUCAGAGAGACGUUGCCAGCCGCUGCCAUGAAAAGCAAGAUAAAGAUCUUUGAAUUACCAUCCAAUGCAAUAUAAGAAGAGGAGACGUGUCUGGUCUUGUCUUUCAGCAUUUAGUAAAGAGAAGCACAAGACAGGAGUUGUGUAACCCACAGCAAGUUCUUUGGCCGAGUUUAACUUUUGGCAGCCUCUAAUUUGCAUGUGCUUUCUUUGGGAUCUUUUUAAAAGUCUGCUCAGUUUUGUCUGAUUAUGGAACAUCAUCUACAAAGGUCAAGCAGUGCUUUUGAGACUUUGAAAUGUGCCUUCAAUAGGUUAGAGAUACAUUUUUACACCUACUUCAAUUUUUAAAAACAAAUGUUCCAAUGAAAACAAAAGGAGAACCAGGAGGACAGAUCAGUGGUAAAGGAGCUUGCCACCAGACCUGAGGACCCAAAUUCAAUCCUACAACCUACAUGGAGGAGAAAAGAACUGAGAACUUCCACAUAUGCACUGUGGCAUAUGUGCACAUGCACAAGAGUGUGCACACGCGCGCGCGCACACACACACACAAACACUCUAAAUAAAUAAAUAAAUAAAUAAAUAAAUAAAUAAAUAAAUAAAUAAAUGCAUACAUACAUGUAUUUAAUUAUAAAGAUUUAUGAUGAAUGAGUUUGAAA